RNAcentral lists this ribosomal RNA (425 nucleotides) under uncultured bacterium. Its description in RNAcentral is "bacterial SSU rRNA". It matches the Rfam family "Bacterial small subunit ribosomal RNA", at positions 352 to 774 of the family's 1533-position model. The record is from RNAcentral.
CAGUGAGGAAUAUUGGGCAAUGCCCGAAAGGGUGACCCAGCAACGCCGCGUGGAGGAUGAAGGUCGUAAGAUUGUAAACUCCUGUUAGAGGGGAAGAAUAACUAAGUUUGGAGCUUAGUAUGACUGUACCCUCAGAGAAAGCCCCGGCUAACUACGUGCCAGCAGCCGCGGUAAUACGUAGGGGGCAAGCGUUGUCCGGAUUUACUGGGUGUAAAGGGCGCGCAGGCGGAAUGGAAAGUCAGUGGUGAAAUCCUACAGCUUAACUGUAGAACUGCCUUUGAUACUUUUAUUCUUGAGUUCGGGAGAGAGAGACGGAAUUCCAGGUGUAGUGGUGAAAUACGUAGAUAUCUGGAAGAACACCAGUUGCGAAGGCGGUCUCUUGGUCCGACACUGACGCUGAGGCGCGAAAGCGUGGGGAGCAAACA